AAUUCAACUAUAUAUAUGUGUAUAUAUACAUAUAUACAAUCUUUUAAAAUUCUUCAGAUAUAAAACUUAAACUAAUUGCUUACUUUAAUAAAUUUAUAUUUACGUAAAUUGCAUAAAAUAUACUAAUUAAACCACGCACUAAAGAUAAACUUGGCAUUAAAAUUUUGAAGUUAAAAAGACACUAAUUAAUUGACUCGAAUCAAAAUAAGUUAAAAGAUCAAUUAAUUAAUAAAAUCAAAGUUUUUGUAAAAAACUA
This 256-nucleotide long non-coding RNA is filed under the name Ananas comosus (pineapple). RNAcentral describes it as "long non-coding RNA (ACOM_LNC029251)". The record is from RNAcentral. Lineage: Eukaryota; Viridiplantae; Streptophyta; Magnoliopsida; Poales; Bromeliaceae.